AUUGAACGCUGGCGGCAUGCCUUACACAUGCAAGUCGAACGGCAGCGCGGGAGCAAUCCUGGCGGCGAGUGGCGAACGGGUGAGUAAUAUAUCGGAACGUGCCCAUUAGUGGGGGAUAGCCCGGCGAAAGCCGGUUUAAUACCGCAUACUACCUGAGUGUGAAAGCGGGGGAUCGCAAGACCUCGCGCGAGUGGAGCGUCCGAUAUCAGAUUAGCUAGUUGGUGGGGUAAAGGCCUACCAAGGCAACGAUCUGUAGUUGGUCUGAGAGGACGACCAGCCACACUGGGACUGAGACACGGCCCAGACUCCUACGGGAGGCAGCAGUGGGGAAUUUUGGACAAUGGGCGCAAGCCUGAUCCAGCAAUGCCGCGUGCAGGAAGAAGGCCUUCGGGUUGUAAACUGCUUUUGUCAGGGAAGAAAUCCUUUGGGCUAAUACCUCGGAGGGAUGACGGUACCUGAAGAAUAAGCACCGGCUAACUACGUGCCAGCCGCCGCAGUAA
This 500-nucleotide ribosomal RNA is filed under the name uncultured bacterium. Its description in RNAcentral is "partial 16S ribosomal RNA". It matches the Rfam family "Bacterial small subunit ribosomal RNA", at positions 30 to 523 of the family's 1533-position model. The record is from RNAcentral.